Molecule: ribosomal RNA, 553 nt
Filed under: uncultured Glomus
Lineage: Eukaryota; Fungi; Glomeromycota; Glomeromycetes; Glomerales; Glomeraceae
Description: SSU rRNA
Rfam family: Eukaryotic small subunit ribosomal RNA
Source: RNAcentral
UUGGAGGGCAAGUCUGGUGCCAGCAGCCGCGGUAAUUCCAGCUCCAAUAGCGUAUAUUAAAGUUGUUGCAGUUAAAAAGCUCGUAGUUGAAUUUCGGGAUCAGAUUGUCGGUCGUGCCUCGGUACGCACUGGCAUUAUUGGUUCCUACCUUCUGAAGAACCGCGAUGUCAUUAAUUUGGUGUCGUGGGGAAUCAGGACUGUUACUUUGAAAAAAUUAGAGUGUUUAAAGCAGGCGCACGCUUGAAUACAUUAGCAUGGAAUAAUGAAAUAGGACGUUUGAUUCUAUUUUGUUGGUUUCUAGGAUCGACGUAAUGAUUAAUAGGGAUAGUUGGGGGCAUUAGUAUUCAAUUGUCAGAGGUGAAAUUCUUGGAUUUAUUGAAGACUAACUACUGCGAAAGCAUUUGCCAAGGAUGUUUUCAUUAAUCAAGAACGAAAGUUAGGGGAUCGAAGACGAUCAGAUACCGUCGUAGUCUUAACCAUAAACUAUGCCGACUAGGGAUCGGAUGAUGUUGAUUUUAUAAUGACUCAUUCGGCACCUUACGGGAAACCAAAG